RNAcentral lists this long non-coding RNA (1186 nucleotides) under Anas zonorhyncha (Eastern spot-billed duck). RNAcentral describes it as "lncRNA (ENSAZOG00000000483.1)". The record is from RNAcentral. Lineage: Eukaryota; Metazoa; Chordata; Aves; Anseriformes; Anatidae.
AUGAGCUGAGCUUUCUGAGAGAACUGCAGAAACAUGGGGUUUGGGAUGACAACAGGCAGUGGAAAAGCAGUUUUCGGGUGCUCACUGACACGAAUGUAGGCAAAACCAUCUGCAUACGUGUGCCUGUCUCUCCCACACAUUUCUGAAGAGGGGUGGAAUGUAUUUCUGGAAUACUUGUGCUAAAAAUAAACCCAUCCUUGCUGUCUAUGAAGAGAGGCAGGUAUAGCCCGGGUUUCUGUAAGCCCAUGAACUUGUGAACUGCUUAGAGGCUGAGGCACAACUAAAAAACCCCCAUGGAAAUCAAUUGGAGCUGCUUGUACAGGAGGGUGGCUGGUUGCUUGGAAAAGCCAAAAGAGGCCUCUCACAGGAAAGCAGCUGGGAACAGUGCUAAAUAAUACUGAGAAGAAAGGAGCCAAACAAGGAACAGAAAGCAACGGCUGCAGAAAAGCGAGAAAACAGAAAUGCAGCCAUCAGAAGCAGAACUCGGUUGUGGAGACUCACUUUAGACACCAGCUCCUCUGGCUGCUGCUCACCUGGGUCAUCUGCCACAGCCCCAGACCUGGCUGUAAGGUCCUUGGCACUCUCUGUCUGAGAAUUUGGGUAGACUGGAAAACAGGACAGGUCAUCAUCCCAUCCCCGUAGCUGAACCUGGAGAAUGGGGCCGGUGGGGUACGUGGAGUAGAUAGGUAGACGGCAUCACAGACGAACCCCCUAAUCACCAGUCCCAAAUAUUAUGUCACAACCCCCUAAUGAGGAUUAUCCAGAUGAGUCCCAGGUAAUCAUAGACUGCUGUUAACAUUAAAGUGAUUCCUGGGACUGAAACUCACUGUACCAAAUGAACUAAAAUGGCUGGUAUUAAUAAACUGACAAAUGCAAAUAAAAGAACACUUCUUUAAUCUCCUUCCAUUAAGGAAAGGGCAUGUGGUUUGAAUUAUGAUCAUAUAAACCACUGACUUCAGGCACUUUUUAAAGGGUUGUAGUCUGCAAAACUCAUUAGAAAAUUUAUGCUAUCAAAUAUUUGAAUAAAAUAUAAUGGGAAUAAAGAGUUAAAUACUGCCUUAAAAAAAAAAAAAAAAAAAAAAAAAAAAAAAAAAGGUUUUCUUUUAAUUUUUAAAAGGGAAAUUACACAAAANNNNNNNNNNNNNNNNNNNNNNNNNNNNNNNNAAUCUUCCUAAAAAAAAAAAAA